GUCUUUUUCUAACAUUCGUCCUUCCCAUUCUUGAGGGUUAGCCAUGUUGGUCUGCUCAGCGAAAACAAGAGAGUCUUGUGGAACCUUAAAGAUUAACAAAUAUAUGUGGCACAAGCUUCUGUGGGAGAGAAUCUGCUUUGCCAGAUAUCUGAAAUGGCAGCUUCCUACGUUUCAUUUUGAGACAAAUCUGACUUGCAAGAACCUGCUUCUGCAUCUUAGGGUUAUUUCAACUGGUGCCAAUUACACGACAAAGAUAAGUUUUGGAUAAUGAAUAACUGUACCUGUGUACAGUUAGGCUGUAUUAUUCCUGACCCUUUUGCAGAAAUAGGUGCCAUAUUGUAACCAAGAGGUUGCUUUAUACGCCUUUAAAUGGUCUAAAGUAGCAAGAAAGGAUGCAGCCACUGUGCCUCCUGACCAUUCUUCCACCUGUCCCUUUGCCCACUCUGUCUCCUGUUAUGCGUAAGACAUAAGCCCUAUUCAGACAUUAUGUUGAAGACUCAUAUGAGUGUACAGUGUACACAGGUACACUUACUCACAUUUUAUGUUGAACACAGGUACAGUAGUAUACUUCCUAUCUGUACCAUGCAUUUGAGGGGCCUAUACUUGCAUUCACUUUUUAAAAGAAUGCAGGUAGGUUCGUUUACACAAAAAUAUGUACAAGUGUGCUGCCAUCUAUACAUUCAUGCAACAUAAUGUCUGAAUAGGGCUCUAGUGUACCUCUUACUUUAGUGGGUGAAGGGACUCAGAGAAAAUAGGCUGGAGUUGCCUCAGUUGUAUUCUUUAUCACUGCCUUGGAGCUUUCAGAAAUGUGGGCACAGUAUCCAGAAGCACAUGCCAAAACGAAAGGAGUAAUCUGUGUACAAAGAAUGCUGAAAAGGCCAAGGUGCUAAAACCCAACUGUACAGAGAGGAUCUUGCCUGGUGGAAAAUCCUCUUUGGGAAUGUCAGGAAAUCUUUUGCUUAUGACUUGCAGCUCACCAUCUGCAAGAUCCAAAACAGAUGUAUGGUGGGGAGAUCUCAUCUUACAAUCAACAGAAGUGGAACAUGGGAUCUUCAGCCAACAUGAUGAGAGCUCAGGGUAUCUCACCACUAUCUUUGCAUGAUGAAGCAUUCAACUUUGACUCCUUUACCCUGAAUUUAAAGCUUUUAGACAGUGCCUCCUUGUUGUCCAUUGUGGUUGGAUAUUCACCUCUGUCAUAGAACUGGAAAAUCUCAUGGGACAAGAGAAAUAACCGUUUGGCUCAAACAGGAAUAUAUUUUUCCUUCACUUUCUAAAAGGUGCAAAGUUUCUCUUCAUAUAAUGGAAACAUAUGUGAAUUCCCACCACCUUUUUAUCUCCAUGGUUGGUGUCAUGUCUGCCAUGUUCAUUACUGGUUUAUGAUUAAGUUCAUAGUGGCCAAAGACUGAAGAUUUGGGGGGGGGGGGAAGAACCUAGAGAACUUCCCCUUUCCCAAAAGCUGUGAUUUGAGAAAUUCCUCCAAAUAUGUUCAAGUAACAUGGUUACAGGAAAACCCAGGAAAUACAGUAAAACAAUGCAUAUUUUUGUAGGAAUAUCUGCCUAAAACACAGGAGACCAGCCUGUUUGAGCACCACCUUGAAUAAGCUUGUGGAUACGCUCACUUUAAGUGAGGUAAUGAAUAUAUUAGAACUGUACCAUCUCUGAGGGGGUGAUGGAAAACUGGAGGAAUGUAAACCUCUGUAGCUUUUAAAGGAAGAAUGUUAAUCUUUGUGCUUUUUUGUCUGCUAAUUCUGCUGGAUGGCAUCUAAUAAAUCCCCAGAGCCAUACCAAAAUCUUACCCUUCAAACUGUGCAAGACUAUAAAGUUAACAUAUCUGAGGUGGAUAGAGCUGCCAUUCCAAGUCUCUCUCUGCAAGCAUUUAGUUUUCAGCUUUGGCCAGCAGAAAUGGAUAAGAAUAUUGGAUAAUUUAUUGUAGGGAAUAAAUGACUGAAAUGACCAUCUGCCUCAUGGUAAUACCCAGUCAUGUAGCUGGGGCAAUUGGAAGGAGUGAGCAGUUGGUAGUUCCAGAUCAGUUACAGUAUCACAGAGGCAAUUUGUUUGCAUAGAAAAUAUAGCAGGGAAAUCCAGUGUUCACCUUGUCUCCAAGAUUUUUGGAGCCUUCAUGAUCUUCAGUUGCCUGCUAUUGCUACAUUUGCUAUCUAUUUACCUUUCCAGAUUUUUAGGAGGUGAUUUAUACUUUCUGCCUAGCAAGCUUACUAAUCUAUACAAAGUUUUAUUAAGAGUCUAGUUGCUUAUAUGCUAAAAUCAGGAGUUUGUCCCAAAUGGUAGAUCGACAUCUGCUGCUUGUCGAUUCCAGAAACUUGGUUGGCAGGAUGUAAGAAUAUGGGAAUAUAAGAAUGGAUUACUAGAAGCAAUACAGCUCAAGAGGCAAAAGAUGGGUUUACUUUCUAUUCAGGAAUUGGAUCUUACAUUGAGUCCUAAAAAAAAGUAAACUUCUGUUCAUUAAACACCUUAGAAAAGAACAUUUGGGGGCUAUUAUUGCAACAUCCUUGAAGUUGUAAAUAUGUAAUAAAGUGAUUUUGAAACAUUUUUUCAUUCUUUCAUCCUUUAUGAGCAGAUUCUUUUGCUUUAGAAGACUGUUUAGAACAAAAGCAAUACAAUUAGAUAAAAUGGUACUUUGAACAUGAAAACAGCAAUGGUGUGCCUCUAGAAUGCUGAGAUCAAGAAUGGUUUGUAGUGUUUCCUGCAUAUCUUCUGAAGUUGCUUUUUAAAAAUCUUUAUUUAUUAAGCACUUGUUGCAUUUAGUAAAAUAAAACAAGUUUUCAAACUCUACAUGCACAACAGGAAUUUCCAGAACUAUUGUGUUUCAUGCUACCAAGUCUGAAAAAGCAAAAACUAUAGAUACAAAUUGGUUUUUAACCUUUUGUCGUACUCAAACACUGUUGUAUUAUUUCUGCAUAAGUUUCCUAUAUGCCCAGCAUUAAAGCACUUCCUGUAAGUC
Molecule: long non-coding RNA, 2959 nt
Organism: Hemicordylus capensis (graceful crag lizard)
Lineage: Eukaryota; Metazoa; Chordata; Lepidosauria; Squamata; Cordylidae
Exons: 2
Source: RefSeq, a predicted model, not a curated record